Molecule: long non-coding RNA, 785 nt
Organism: Dicentrarchus labrax (European seabass)
Lineage: Eukaryota; Metazoa; Chordata; Actinopteri; Moronidae
Source: Ensembl
UUUAAAAAAGAAGAAAAAAGAGGCCAUAUGGGACAUAAAAGGGAUUGGUGUCAAGGAAACAGAAAAAGAGAAGAUAAAGGAAAUGCAUGGGAACCGUGCGGCGUCUUCAUAACUCUGAGGGAAACGACAGGCGUUAUGACCCCAAACAAGGACUGAGCUCGCCCCACAAUUCGGCUGUGACUUGUUAUUUGGUGGAAACUCUCUCUGCAAGUCCAAACAUGUGUGGUGUGGACACUGGAGUCUUUAUACGUAAGUUGUUGUUUGUGGUGUAAAUUAAAAAUUAAAUUAAAUUAAAUAUGUAUGCCCAUUGCCCCUCUUUUUCCUAUGAAACUGUCCGGAAGAACUUCAGAUAUAGUCAACCAGACCUUUCGGCCCAAGCAGCAGCCAUGAAAGGUGCAGCCCGGACCAGACAGAGAAGAAAAAGGCUGCUGGAAGCGAGGAGGGCUGUUUUAGCUCCAGAAGAGAUGGACUUCAGGAGGGGCACCACCGUGGACUUGAUGUCCGAUGAGGAGGAUGCCACAGCUGAUGGGGAAGCUGGGUGGCUAGUUCGGCCCUCAUCCUUCAGGAGCCGUAAACUGUCUGCCCUGUGUUCUCUUCUACAGAAGAGACUGGAGAAAGACCCCAGAUACUGUGCAACCCACCACAAAAGGCUACAUCAUGGGCCACCCUCUGAAAGCCCUGCUCCACCCUAUUAUGAUCCUGAAGCGGCCAAAAAACAUUUGAUUUUGAAUCAAUGAUUUGAUUUGAUUUGAUUUGUUUUAAUGUGUGCAAAGCGUGUGUGUGUG